Molecule: ribosomal RNA, 2114 nt
Filed under: Triticum aestivum (bread wheat)
Lineage: Eukaryota; Viridiplantae; Streptophyta; Magnoliopsida; Poales; Poaceae
Description: partial small subunit ribosomal RNA
Source: RNAcentral
GGAAUAUAUUUUUGUCCCGGCGAAUUCCAACCCUGCGCUGCGCCGCGUGCGUCGUCGUCGCCGCCGCGAUCCCACGGUGCCGUCGCACGAGCGCGCGAGAUUACGUUCGGGAAGUGAGUACAAAAUAAUCCGUCCGGGAGAGAACAAGUGGCUGCCGCGCGUACGUGUCCGGCGCACGCGCGUUAUCCAGCCGCCGACAGCGCCAAACAUUUCCCCGGCCGGCCGCUUUUUAUUCCCUCCCGCGUCCCUCUCUCACUCCCGCGCGCAGAAGCAGAGCCAAACGCCAAGACGCAAAGCGAUCGGGAGCUUCCCGAUCCCCCUGUCCUGUAGCCGCGCGUGGGAAAGGAGGCUGCAACUUUUCCUCGGUGCGGCGGCCGGUCCGCGUAUAUAUAGCAAAUGGAGAGGAGCUGGUUCGGGUGGAGGAAGGCGAAGCAGGGCGGAGGUGGCGGUGCCGGCGGCGGCGGCGGGGAGAGGGAGGAGGAGGAUCAGGCCAAGGUGGUGGUGGACGGGUCGGGGAUACGGGAGCUGGUGGAGGACAGGGAGGCGUUCGGCAUGUUCGCGGAGACCAAGUUCCGGCAGCUCGACGCCGACGGGGACGGCCGGCUGUCCGUGCGGGAGCUGCAGCCCGCCGUGGCCGACAUCGGCGCGUCGCUCGGCCUGCCCGCGCAGGGCUCCUCGCCCAACGCCGACCACAUCUACUCCGAGGCUAUGAGCGAGUUCACUCAUGGUCACGGGAACCAAGAGGGGGUGAGCAGGGCAGAGUUCCAGGAGGUCUUGUCCGACAUUCUCCUCGGAAUGGCGGCCGGGCUCAAGAAGGAUCCGAUCGUGAUACUGCGCAUCGACGGCGAGGACCUCAGGGACUUCGUGUCCAGCCCAAGGUAUGAGCCGGCAGUCGCUGCCAUCUUCUCACAAGUUGGGUCUGAAGAUGCCCCUCUCCGGCAGUGCCUGCUAGCCGCCGUUCAGCAGCUCGGCGUCGACCACGGCAUGCCCCCAGCCGCUGACCCUUGGGUGGUAGAGAACGUGGUAGAGCCGGCAUUGCAGCAGCUCUCCGCCGAUGAGCUCGAGCAACCGGCGUCCCGGGACGUCUUCUUCGAGCAGCUGAAGAAGCUGCUGGGCAGUGUGGCGGAACAGCUUCAGGAGCGGCACGUCAUCGUUGCGCACACCGAGAACACCUUCGACGGGAGCGGUGUCAGGAGGCUGCUGGGAAACAAGUUCGAGCUGGACAAGCUGCUGGAUUCUGUGUGGAGGGACGUGCCGGCAGAGCACAAGAAGAAGGCGCCCAAGGACAAGGAGCACCUGCGAGUCGCACUCGAUAAGAUGGCCGAUGCAGCAAGCUUACCACCUCAUGGCGCUGUUGCUCAGGUGGACGCCGUCGUGGACGAGGCGCUCAAGGUGGCGGACGCCGGCGACGGGAAGGCGGUCCAAGAAGGGGAGUUUAAGAAGCUGCUGACGGAGGUCCUUGGGGCCGUGAUGCUGCGGCUGAGCGGCGAACCGAUCUUCUUCUCCACCAGCACAGUCGUCCACGAGCCGCUGUCCAGCUCGUCCGCCCUGUUGCCGUCGCUGGCGGUGGCAUCGCCGCCGAGCGAGUAGCAAUAUGCACAUGAAAGUUCGUCAAGUACUCUGGUUAAUGUAUAAGUUUGGAAUAAGGCUACCAAGCCAGAAAGACACAUUGUCAAUGGGAAAUGCUACUGAUGCUAUACCACUACGUGCGAAAGCAUCUGUGUUUUGAUGAAAAAAUGGGAGAAGAAACAUUCAGCUUUCAUUUCUAAUAAUAAUCAGGAAAAGAAAGUAAUCGUUGGGUAGAAAAUGAUGCUCCAGUUUGUCAACCUUGGUAUAAUUCGAAGCGAAAAGAAAAACAUGAAUCACUACGCAAGUACUGCAAGACAUGCCAAUAGUUUCCUAAGGUUCACGAUGGACAACAUGAAUCUACGAAAGCACUGGAAGACAUGGAGUCAUUGCAUCGCUUCACACCUCAAUGGUUUUGUUCCAGAAAGUUCAUACGCAUCACAGCGUCAGUGCACGGAAGAAGAAAAAGUCUCGUCGCUUCCUAAGGUUAUACGGAUCUAGCAUAACGUCAAUGGUAACACAAAGGACACAUGCCUUGUUUAAGGAUC